UACCAGACUCCUACGGGAGGCAGCAGUGAGGAAUAUUGGUCAAUGGCCGGAAGGCUGAACCAGCCAAGCCGCGUGAAGGACGAAGGUGCCAAGCAUUGUAAACUUCUUUUGUCAAGGGACAAAAUCAGGCUCGAGAGCCUGACCGAGGGUACUUGAAGAAAAAGCAUCGGCUAACUCCGUGCCAGCAGCCGCGGUAAUACGGAGGAUGCGAGCGUUAUCCGGAUUUAUUGGGUUUAAAGGGUGCGUAGGCGGAGUGUUAGGUCGGGGGUAAAAGCCGGGGGCUCAACCCCGGCGAGCCGUUGAAACUGCAUCCCUUGAGUGCGCGAGAAGUAUGCGGAAUGCGUGGUGUAGCGGUGAAAUGCAUAGAUAUCACGCAGAACUCCGAUUGCGAAGGCAGCAUACCGGCGCGCAACUGACGCUCAUGCACGAAAGCGUGGGUAUCGAACAGGAUUAGAUACCCCAGUA
RNAcentral lists this ribosomal RNA (465 nucleotides) under uncultured bacterium. Its description in RNAcentral is "bacterial SSU rRNA". It matches the Rfam family "Bacterial small subunit ribosomal RNA", at positions 329 to 792 of the family's 1533-position model. The record is from RNAcentral.